UACGGAGGGUGCGAGCGUUGUCCGGAAUCACUGGGCGUAGAGGGCGCGUAGGCGGCCUGAUAAGUAGGGGGUGAAAUCUUGCGGCUUAACCGCAAGGCUGCCUUCUAAACUGUCGGGCUAGAGCACAGUAGAGGCAGGUGGAAUUCCCGGUGUAGCGGUGGAAUGCGUAGAGAUCGGGAAGAACAUCAGUGGCGAAGGCGGCCUGCUGGGCUGUUGCUGACGCUGAGGCGCGACAGCGUGGGGAGCAAACAGG
This 253-nucleotide ribosomal RNA is filed under the name uncultured bacterium. RNAcentral describes it as "partial 16S ribosomal RNA". It matches the Rfam family "Bacterial small subunit ribosomal RNA", at positions 524 to 776 of the family's 1533-position model. The record is from RNAcentral.